GGUUUGUUUCACAUAUGUUCUAUCAAGAUACAAAGCUAUUCCACGAAUCAUCAACAUCUGAUCACAAAAAUCCUGCCAACACCUCUCAACAAGCGACAAGAAAACUACAAGAUCUUCACUUUGGCCAACUAAAGAACGUAGAGCUGCAGCUAUGUGUGAUUCACACUCUUUUUCAAUUCGUUGAUAUAGAUUUCCUCCCAUUUUGUGCAGACAAAGGUCAUUUACAGCCUGAUAAAGCUUUUCUAAAUCACAUGGAUCAGGCUGCUUCAAGAAUAUCGCACUAAUAGCUGACUUUAGAGUUGCCCAAGUAUUUUCCUCAAAGUUUGUCGGCAACGUAGGUUUCGCUUUAAGGAGCUUAAUUACGAGUUUCUUAGCAGGCUGAGGAGGGGUAGCUUUCUUGCGAGACAAAUUGGCCGUAACCCCACCAGCAACUGAAGAGGAAUCGAUGUUGCAAUCCUCCAUCAUGGGGGAGUUUCCAGAAGGGUCGUCGAUAUCGGAGGAAAAGUGAACGUGCUGACCGUUUUUGCUAUCAAUAGAACAAGGUAGAGCUUGUGACUUAGCCUUCUUCAUGGAAGAAUAAGCUGGGGUUCGGCCGGCGGUGCCACCGGUGGUCGGAGUAGAUGAGGAUGAUGAUGAGGGAUUUGUGGGGAUGAAGCGCUUUUUGGGGUUGGUGGUGGGUUGAGAC
This 685-nucleotide unclassified non-coding RNA is filed under the name Hevea brasiliensis (rubber tree). The record is from RNAcentral. Lineage: Eukaryota; Viridiplantae; Streptophyta; Magnoliopsida; Malpighiales; Euphorbiaceae.